GACGAACGCUGGCGGCGUGCUUAACACAUGCAAGUCGAACGGAAAGGCCCUGCUUUUGUGGGGUGCUCGAGUGGCGAACGGGUGAGUAACACGUGAGUAACCUGCCCUUGACUUUGGUAUAACUUCAGGAAACUGGGGCUACUACCGUAUAGGAGCUCCUGCUCCAUGGUGGGGGUUGGAAAGUUUCGGCGGUUGGGGAUGGACUCGCGGCUUAUGAGCUUGUUGGUUGGGUAGUGGCUUACCAAGGCUUGGACGGGUAGCCGGCCUGAGAGGGUGACCGGGCACAAUGGGACUGAGGGACGGCCCAGACUCCUACGGGAGGCAGCAGGGGGGAAUAUUGCACAAUGGGCGGAAGUCGGAUGCAGAAACGCCGCGUGCGGGAUGACGGCCUUCGGGGUGUAAACCGCUUUAGCCUGUGACGAAGCGUGAGUGACGGUAAUGGGUAAAGAAGCACCGGCUAACUACGUG
Molecule: ribosomal RNA, 468 nt
Filed under: uncultured bacterium
Lineage: Bacteria
Description: partial 16S ribosomal RNA
Rfam family: Bacterial small subunit ribosomal RNA
Source: RNAcentral